RNAcentral lists this transfer RNA (72 nucleotides) under Sphaerodactylus townsendi. RNAcentral's name for it is "tRNA-Ala". It matches the Rfam family "tRNA". Rfam says of the family: Transfer RNA (tRNA) molecules are approximately 80 nucleotides in length. The record is from RNAcentral. Lineage: Eukaryota; Metazoa; Chordata; Lepidosauria; Squamata; Sphaerodactylidae.
GGGGCUGUGGCUCAGUGUCAGAGCAUUUGCUUGGCAUGUAUAAGGUGCCUGGUUCGAUCCCUGGCAUCUUCA